RNAcentral lists this ribosomal RNA (399 nucleotides) under uncultured bacterium. RNAcentral's name for it is "bacterial SSU rRNA". It matches the Rfam family "Bacterial small subunit ribosomal RNA", at positions 355 to 768 of the family's 1533-position model. The record is from RNAcentral.
UAAGGGAUAUUGCGCCAAUGGGCGAAAGCCUGACGCAGCAACGCCGCGUGCGGGAAGAAGGCCUUCGGGUUGUAAACCGCUUUUCUAGGGGAAGAGGGAGGACGGUACCCUGGGAAUAAGUCUCGGCUAACUACGUGCCAGCAGCCGCGGUAAAACGUAGGAGGCGAGCGUUAUCCGGAUUUACUGGGUGUAAAGCGCGUGCAGGCGGUUUAGCAAGUCGUGCGUGAAAGCGCUCUGGCUCAACCGGGCGAGGACGUGCGGAACUGCUGAACUGGAGGCAGGUAGAGGCGUGUGGAAUUCCGGGUGUAGUGGUGAAAUGCGUAGAGAUCCGGAGGAACACCAGUGGCGAAGGCGACGCGCUGGGCCUGACCUGACGCUAAGACGCGAAAGCAUGGGGAG